This 253-nucleotide ribosomal RNA is filed under the name uncultured bacterium. RNAcentral's name for it is "partial 16S ribosomal RNA". It matches the Rfam family "Bacterial small subunit ribosomal RNA", at positions 524 to 776 of the family's 1533-position model. The record is from RNAcentral.
UACGUAGGGUGCGAGCGUUAAUCGGAAUUACUGGGCGUAAAGUGUGCGCAGGCGGCCGCGCAAGUCGAGUGUGAAAGCCCCGAGCUUAACUUGGGAACUGCGCUCGAAACUACGUGGCUGGAGUGUGGCAGAGGAAGGUGGAAUUCCACGUGUAGCGGUGAAAUGCGUAGAGAUGUGGAGGAACACCAGUGGCGAAGGCGGCUUCCUGGACCGGUUCUGACACUGAGGAGCGAAAGCGUGGGGAGCGAUCCGG